GAUCCUUAAAACACCUGCAGGUUACUGAUUUGUAAACCUUUGAUAUGACAGACCUUAGGAUUCAGUUGGGUCUAGAUAAAAAUCCCAGCUUUACUUGGUAAAUUUCAGUUGUUAAGUAUCUUGUAGUAUUAAAAGAUUUAAUACUAUUGCUUUUCCUUAGAAUAUAUUAAAGCAAUAGUAUUGUUUCUGCUUACAAUAUUGUAAAUAUUGGUUUCAGUUAGCAUAAACAUCUAAUUUUUUGCUCUUAGACCACUAAGAGAGAUACAAGUGGUGGAUUUCAGAGAACUUCCUGAACCAUUGAAAAGCAGGAGAAAGUACGCUUCUGUAAUCCUGUCACAUCUGUUCUAAAGGAUUCCAGGGACUCUGACCUGCGACUCAAAAAACUGACAUCACAAGGCACCAAACUUCCCCGAAAGCUGAGGAAAAAUAAGCACCUUCAAGAAGAGAAAAGACAAAAGCACUGACCUUGUGGCAAAGCACAGGAGGAAGGGAAAGCUACUAUGCAAGAAGAGAGAGAGGAAUGUAAGAGAAGACAGUCACUAUGUUGAAGAGAAGUUUAGAGGACUGCCCAGAGUAAAGAAAUCCCCUUCCAAGUGUUUCUCCUGCAGCCUUGGCAAAAAUAUACACAUCAGGGAUACAGACUUCUUCAAUGACUUGUUUACUUGGAAGAAUGUUUAAGCCAAGCACAGUGGUACACACCUCUAAUCCCAGCACUUGGGAAGCUGAGACAGUAGGAUCACUGCGAUUUUGAGGCCAGCCUGGGCUACAUAGUGAUUUCAAGGCCAGCCUGUACUACAUUGUGAAACCUGUUUUAAAAAAGAAUGUUUAGUUUCUAAGUGUUUGGAAAUUUUCCUGUUAUCUUUCUAUUAUUGAUUUGUAGUUUAAUUCCAGUGUGGUCAGAGAACAUAUUCCAUAUGAUUUCAAUUUGUUCAGGUUUGUUUUAUGGUCUAUCAUUUUUCUUGAUAUCCAUCUAUCUUGGUGUAUCAAAUUCCAUGGGCACUUGAAAAGAAUAAGUAGUGUGUUGUCAGAGUGUUUAUAAAUGUUGAUUAGACCUUGUUGUUUGACAGCAUUGUUAGUUCUUCAUAUCUUUGCUGAUUUCCUAC
This 1103-nucleotide long non-coding RNA is filed under the name Heterocephalus glaber (naked mole-rat). RNAcentral's name for it is "lncRNA (ENSHGLG00100043166.1)". Lineage: Eukaryota; Metazoa; Chordata; Mammalia; Rodentia; Bathyergidae. The record is from RNAcentral.